This 497-nucleotide ribosomal RNA is filed under the name uncultured bacterium. RNAcentral's name for it is "partial 16S ribosomal RNA". It matches the Rfam family "Bacterial small subunit ribosomal RNA", at positions 28 to 507 of the family's 1533-position model. The record is from RNAcentral.
GAUGAACGCUGGCAGCGUGCCUAAUACAUGCAAGUCGAGCGAACAGACGAGGAGCUUGCUCCUCUGACGUUAGCGGCGGACGGGUGAGUAACACGUGGAUAACCUACCUAUAAGACUGGGAUAACUUCGGGAAACCGGAGCUAAUACCGGAUAAUAUAUUGAACCGCAUGGUUCAAUAGUGAAAGACGGUUUUGCUGUCACUUAUAGAUGGAUCCGCGCCGCAUUAGCUAGUUGGUAAGGUAACGGCUUACCAAGGCAACGAUGCGUAGCCGACCUGAGAGGGUGAUAGGCCACACUGGAACUGAGACACGGUCCAGACUCCUACGGGAGGCAGCAGUAGGGAAUCUUCCGCAAUGGGCGAAAGCCUGACGGAGCAACGCCGCGUGAGUGAUGAAGGUCUUCGGAUCGUAAAACUCUGUUAUUAGGGAAGAACAAAUGUGUAAGUAACUAUGCACGUCUUGACGGUACCUAAUCAGAAAGCCACGGCUAACUACGUG